RNAcentral lists this ribosomal RNA (366 nucleotides) under Escherichia coli. RNAcentral describes it as "partial 23S ribosomal RNA". It matches the Rfam family "Bacterial large subunit ribosomal RNA", at positions 1 to 409 of the family's 2925-position model. The record is from RNAcentral. Lineage: Bacteria; Pseudomonadati; Pseudomonadota; Gammaproteobacteria; Enterobacterales; Enterobacteriaceae.
GUUAAGCGACUAAGCGUACACGGUGGAUGCCCUGGCAGUCAGAGGCGAUGAAGGACGUGCUAAUCUGCGAUAAGCGUCGGUAAGGUGAUAUGAACCGUUAUAACCGGCGAUUUCCGAAUGGGGAAACCCAGUGUGUUUCGACACACUAUCAUUAACUGAAUCCAUAGGUUAAUGAGGCGAACCGGGGGAACUGAAACAUCUAAGUACCCCGAGGAAAAGAAAUCAACCGAGAUUCCCCCAGUAGCGGCGAGCGAACGGGGAGCAGCCCAGAGCCUGAAUCAGUGUGUGUGUUAGUGGAAGCGUCUGGAAAGGCGCGCGAUACAGGGUGACAGCCCCGUACACAAAAAUGCACAUGCUGUGAGCUCG